AUACUAAUCAUCUGGGAAUUUUGUUAAAAUGCAACAUCUGAUGAUUCCAUGGGUUGGUCUGAGGUGGUGCCUGAAAUCCUGAUUUUCUAAGAAGCUUCCAGGUGAUGUUGUU
Molecule: microRNA precursor, 112 nt
Filed under: Marmota monax (woodchuck)
Lineage: Eukaryota; Metazoa; Chordata; Mammalia; Rodentia; Sciuridae
Source: RNAcentral